AGGUGCAAAAUGAAAUAAAUCAUUCUGCCCCUGCACCUUCGGUGGCGGCAGAAGUUCCCGCACAAGUACAGCAACCUGCAGCGGUGACCAUGGAGUAGUUCAACCUAUUUUUUUAGUAGGUGCAGUAACUCACAGCUGUCGUUCAGGCAGCGAUCUAACCUCCGUCGACACCAUGAUAGGCGAAUCAAUUUCCAAAUCUCUCCAACCCAGUGAUUAGCAGC
This 221-nucleotide long non-coding RNA is filed under the name Elaeis guineensis (African oil palm). Its description in RNAcentral is "long non-coding RNA (EGUI_LNC012828)". The record is from RNAcentral. Lineage: Eukaryota; Viridiplantae; Streptophyta; Magnoliopsida; Arecales; Arecaceae.